CUCAAAUUUCGUAGCGGGAGGCAGCAGUGGGGAAUAUUGGACAAUGGGGCGAACCCCUGAUCCAGCCAUGGCGGAGUGUGUGAAGAAGGCCUUUAUGGUUGUACAGCACUUUAAGCGAGGAGGAGGCUACUGAGACUAAUACUCUUGGAUAGUGGACGUUACUCGCAGAAUAAGCACCGGCUAACUCUGUGCCAGCAGCCGCGGUAAUACAGAGGGUGCGAGCGUUAAUCGGAUUUACUGAGCGUACAGCGUGCGUAGGCGGCUUUGUAAGUCGGAUGUGAAAUCCGCGAGCUUAACUUGGGAAUUGCAUUCGAUACUGGGAAGCUAGAGUAUGGGAGAGGAUGGUAGAAUUCCAGGUGUAGCGGUGAAAUGCGUAGAGAUCUGGAGGAAUACCGAUGGCGAAGGCAGCCAUCUGGCCUAAUACUGACGCUGAGGUACGAAAGCAUGAGGAGCAAACAGGAUUAGAUACCCUGGUAGUCCAUGCCGUAAACGAUGUCUAGUAGCCGUUGGCGCCUCUGAGGCUUUAGUGGCGCAGCUAACGCGAUAAGUAGACCGCCUGGGGAGUACGGUCGCAAGACUAAAACUCAAAUGAAUUGACGGGGGCCCGCACAAGCGGUGGAGCAUGUGGUUUAAUUCGAUGCAACGCGAAGAACCUCACCUGGCCUUGACAUACUAGAAACUUUCCAGAGAUGGAUUGGUGCCUUCGGGAAUCUAGAUACAGGUGCUGCAUGGCUGUCGUCAGCUCGUGUCGUGAGAUGUUGGGUUAAGUCCCGCAACGAGCGCAACCCUUUUCCUUACUUGCCAGCAUUUCGGAUGGGAACUUUAAGGAUACUGCCAGUGACAAACUGGAGGAAGGCGGGGAUGACGUCAAGUCAUCAUGGCCCUUACGGCCAGGGCUACACACGUGCUACAAUGGUCGGUACAAAGGGUUGCUACACAGCGAUGUGAUGCUAAUCUCAAAAAGCCGAUCGUAGUCCGGAUUGGAGUCUGCAACUCGACUCCAUGAAGUCGGAAUCGCUUGUAAUCGCGGAUCAGAAUGCCGCGGUGAAUACGUUCCCGGGCCUUGUACACACCGCCCGUCACACCAUGGGAGUUUGUUGCACCAGAAGUAGGUAGUCUAACCGCAAGGAGGACGCUACCACGGUUGCCCGAUUUGC
RNAcentral lists this ribosomal RNA (1157 nucleotides) under Acinetobacter baumannii. RNAcentral describes it as "bacterial SSU rRNA". It matches the Rfam family "Bacterial small subunit ribosomal RNA", at positions 330 to 1475 of the family's 1533-position model. The record is from RNAcentral. Lineage: Bacteria; Pseudomonadati; Pseudomonadota; Gammaproteobacteria; Moraxellales; Moraxellaceae.